CAUUCCUACGGGACGCAGCAGUGGGGAAUAUUGCACAAUGGGGGAAACCCUGAUGCAGCGACGCCGCGUGAGUGAGGAAGUAUUUCGGUAUGUAAAGCUCUAUCAGCAGGGAAGAAAAUGACGGUACCUGACUAAGAAGCCCCGGCUAACUACGUGCCAGCAGCCGCGGUAAUACGGAGGAUGCGAGCGUUAUCCGGAUUUAUUGGGUUUAAAGGGUGCGCAGGCGGAGGUGCAAGUCAGCGGUCAAAUUGCG
RNAcentral lists this ribosomal RNA (253 nucleotides) under uncultured bacterium. RNAcentral describes it as "partial 16S ribosomal RNA". It matches the Rfam family "Bacterial small subunit ribosomal RNA", at positions 334 to 604 of the family's 1533-position model. The record is from RNAcentral.